Molecule: long non-coding RNA, 359 nt
Filed under: Homo sapiens (human)
Lineage: Eukaryota; Metazoa; Chordata; Mammalia; Primates; Hominidae
Description: non-protein coding lnc-FAM198A-2:1
Source: RNAcentral
CAUCUAUGGGGAGGAAAAAGCCCUGGGUUAUCAUCCAACCACAGCUUUGUACUUUCUUCAAAUUCGUGAGGCAUUUGGAAAAGAAGGACUCAAAGUUCUGAUAUGAUCAAGAUGGGGAGAAAUGACCAUUUUUACAGCCCUGACUGUUCAAACAGCCACAGUGGAGUGGGGAUUUUCAUUUGAGAGUCAUCCCAGUGAAGCAUUGUCAAUUCGUCCCAUGCUGUAUGUUCAUGGCAGGAACACCUGUGCGAGUAUAGCUGGUGCCUCCUCCAUCCUCCCCUCUCCCCACGAAAACAUCACAGGCCUCAGCAGAUCACAAGUGUCUUGGCAAAAGGCGUCUUUAAGAAGUGACAGCAAUU